This 1372-nucleotide ribosomal RNA is filed under the name uncultured bacterium. RNAcentral's name for it is "bacterial SSU rRNA". It matches the Rfam family "Bacterial small subunit ribosomal RNA", at positions 28 to 1381 of the family's 1533-position model. The record is from RNAcentral.
GAUGAACGCUGCCUGCGUGCCUAAUACAUGCAAGUCGAGCGAACGGACGAGAAGCUUGCUUCUCUGAUGUUAGCGGCGGACGGGUGAGUAACACGUGGAUAACCUACCUAUAAGACUGGGAUAACUUCGGGAAACCGGAGCUAAUACCGGAUAAUAUUUUGAACCGCAUGGUUCAAAAGUGAAAGACGGUCUUGCUGUCACUUAUAGAUGGAUCCGCGCUGCAUUAGCUAGUUGGUAAGGUAACGGCUUACCAAGGCAACGAUGCAUAGCCGACCUGAGAGGGUGAUCGGCCACACUGGAACUGAGACACGGUCCAGACUCCUACGGGAGGCAGCAGUAGGGAAUCUUCCGCAAUGGGCGAAAGCCUGACGGAGCAACGCCGCGUGAGUGAUGAAGGUCUUCGGAUCGUAAAACUCUGUUAUUAGGGAAGAACAUAUGUGUAAGUAACUGUGCACAUCUUGACGGUACCUAAUCAGAAAGCCACGGCUAACUACGUGCCAGCAGCCGCGGUAAUACGUAGGUGGCAAGCGUUAUCCGGAAUUAUUGGGCGUAAAGCGCGCGUAGGCGGUUUUUUAAGUCUGAUGUGAAAGCCCACGGCUCAACCGUGGAGGGUCAUUGGAAACUGGAAAACUUGAGUGCAGAAGAGGAAAGUGGAAUUCCAUGUGUAGCGGUGAAAUGCGCAGAGAUAUGGAGGAACACCAGUGGCGAAGGCGACUUUCUGGUCUGUAACUGACGCUGAUGUGCGAAAGCGUGGGGAUCAAACAGGAUUAGAUACCCUGGUAGUCCACGCCGUAAACGAUGAGUGCUAAGUGUUAGGGGGUUUCCGCCCCUUAGUGCUGCAGCUAACGCAUUAAGCACUCCGCCUGGGGAGUACGACCGCAAGGUUGAAACUCAAAGGAAUUGACGGGGACCCGCACAAGCGGUGGAGCAUGUGGUUUAAUUCGAAGCAACGCGAAGAACCUUACCAAAUCUUGACAUCCUUUGACAACUCUAGAGAUAGAGCUUUCCCCUUCGGGGGACAAAGUGACAGGUGGUGCAUGGUUGUCGUCAGCUCGUGUCGUGAGAUGUUGGGUUAAGUCCCGCAACGAGCGCAACCCUUAAGCUUAGUUGCCAUCAUUAAGUUGGGCACUCUAAGUUGACUGCCGGUGACAAACCGGAGGAAGGUGGGGAUGACGUCAAAUCAUCAUGCCCCUUAUGAUUUGGGCUACACACGUGCUACAAUGGACAAUACAAAGGGCAGCGAAACCGCGAGGUCAAGCAAAUCCCAUAAAGUUGUUCUCAGUUCGGAUUGUAGUCUGCAACUCGACUACAUGAAGCUGGAAUCGCUAGUAAUCGUAGAUCAGCAUGCUACGGUGAAUACGUUCCCGGGUCU